RNAcentral lists this ribosomal RNA (119 nucleotides) under Amphilophus citrinellus (Midas cichlid). Lineage: Eukaryota; Metazoa; Chordata; Actinopteri; Cichliformes; Cichlidae. The record is from RNAcentral.
GCUUACAGCCCAACCACCCCAAGCAAGCCUGAUCUCAUUUGUUCUCGGCAGCUAAACAGGGUCAGGCCUGGUUAGUAUUGGAUAGGAGACCACCUGGGAAUAUCAGGUGCCAAUGGGCC